RNAcentral lists this ribosomal RNA (618 nucleotides) under Triticum aestivum (bread wheat). RNAcentral describes it as "partial small subunit ribosomal RNA". Lineage: Eukaryota; Viridiplantae; Streptophyta; Magnoliopsida; Poales; Poaceae. The record is from RNAcentral.
AUGCCUAGCACAGGGCCUGCACCACCUGCCACGGUCAUGUCGAGCGUCGCGAACCUAGCUCAGCUCCUGCCGACUGGCACGGUGUUGGCGUACCAGGCGUUGUCGCCGUCCUUCACCAACCAUGGCAAGUGCGAGACCUCCAACCAGUGGCUCACAGGGGUGCUGGUUGUCGUCCUCGCCAUGUUGUGCCUCUUCUUCUCCUUCACCGACAGCGUUGUUGGUCGCCGCGAUGGAAAGCUAUACUAUGGCUUCGCCACACUGCACGGCUUCAACGUUUUCAACUUCUCCAGCGAGGAGGAGAGACAGGAGUGGAACGAUCUCGACCAGUUCCGCAGGCUCCGCCUCCGGCCGCUGGACUUCGUGCACGCCUUCUUCGCGGCGGUGGUUUUCCUCACGGUAGCUUUCAGCGACGUGGGGCUGCAGAAUUGUUUCUUUCAGGACGCCGACAGGAACACCGAGGAACUGCUCAAGAAUCUGCCCAUGGGCAUGGCGUUUCUCUCCAGUUUUGUGUUCAUCAUCUUCCCCACCAAAAGGAAGGGCAUUGGAUUCAGCGACACCGAAAGUCAUGCUCAAUCGGAUUUGACGACACCGCUCCUCGCUGGCGUAGAAGUUGCUUGA